This 94-nucleotide non-coding RNA is filed under the name human gut metagenome. Its description in RNAcentral is "Glycine riboswitch". It matches the Rfam family "Glycine riboswitch aptamer", at positions 9 to 86 of the family's 94-position model. From Rfam's summary of the family: This family represents the bacterial glycine riboswitch. RNAcentral also lists the same sequence under 1 other name. The record is from RNAcentral.
GGACUCUGGAGAAUCCCAAGGAAAUUGGGUGCCGAAGGUGCAAGACCGGGCGCGGGCGCGCGGUCGAAUCUCUCAGGCAAAGGGACGGAGCGGA